GUAGCCUAGUGGUUAGAGCGUGGUUAGGGUAGGGGCGGCAGGUAGCCUGGUGGUUAGGGGCGGCAGCCUAGUGGUUAGGCGGGGCGGCAGGUAGCCUAGUGGUUAGAGCGUAGGGGCGGCAGGUAGCCUAGUGGUUAGAGCGUAGGGGCGGCAGGUAGCCUAGUGGUUAGAGCGUAGGGGCGGCAGGUAGCCUAGUGGUUAGAGCGUAGGGGCGGCAGGUAGUCUAGUGGUUAGAGCGUAGGGGCGGCAGGUAGCCUAGUGGUUAGAGCGUAGGGGCGGCAGGUAGCCUAGUGGUUAGAGCGUUGGGCCUGUAACCGGUAGAUUGAAUCCCCGAGCUGACAAGGUAAACAUCUGUCGUUCUGCCCCUGAACAAGGCAGUUAACACACUGUUCCCUGGUAGGCCGUCAUUGAAAAUAAGAAUUUGUUCUUAACUGACUUGCCUUGUUAAAUAAAUUCUUAUGGCCAUAGUUCCCA
Oncorhynchus tshawytscha (Chinook salmon) is the source of this 474-nucleotide long non-coding RNA. Lineage: Eukaryota; Metazoa; Chordata; Actinopteri; Salmoniformes; Salmonidae. The record is from Ensembl.